RNAcentral lists this ribosomal RNA (420 nucleotides) under Escherichia coli. RNAcentral describes it as "bacterial SSU rRNA". It matches the Rfam family "Bacterial small subunit ribosomal RNA", at positions 1102 to 1522 of the family's 1533-position model. RNAcentral also lists the same sequence under 1 other name. The record is from RNAcentral. Lineage: Bacteria; Pseudomonadati; Pseudomonadota; Gammaproteobacteria; Enterobacterales; Enterobacteriaceae.
CCCUUAUCCUUUGUUGCCAGCGGUCCGGCCGGGAACUCAAAGGAGACUGCCAGUGAUAAACUGGAGGAAGGUGGGGAUGACGUCAAGUCAUCAUGGCCCUUACGACCAGGGCUACACACGUGCUACAAUGGCGCAUACAAAGAGAAGCGACCUCGCGAGAGCAAGCGGACCUCAUAAAGUGCGUCGUAGUCCGGAUUGGAGUCUGCAACUCGACUCCAUGAAGUCGGAAUCGCUAGUAAUCGUGGAUCAGAAUGCCACGGUGAAUACGUUCCCGGGCCUUGUACACACCGCCCGUCACACCAUGGGAGUGGGUUGCAAAAGAAGUAGGUAGCUUAACCUUCGGGAGGGCGCUUACCACUUUGUGAUUCAUGACUGGGGUGAAGUCGUAACAAGGUAACCGUAGGGGAACCUGCGGUUGGA